GGCGACCGGCGCACGGGUGCGUAACGCGUAUGCAACCUACCUUUAACAGGGGGAUAACACUGAGAAAUUGGUACUAAUACCCCAUAAUAUCAUAGAAGGCAUCUUUUAUGGUUGAAAAUUCCGAUGGUUAGAGAUGGGCAUGCGUUGUAUUAGCUAGUUGGUGGGGUAACGGCUCACCAAGGCGACGAUACAUAGGGGGACUGAGAGGUUAACCCCCCACAUUGGAACUGAGACACGGUCCAA
Molecule: ribosomal RNA, 243 nt
Filed under: uncultured bacterium
Lineage: Bacteria
Description: partial 16S ribosomal RNA
Rfam family: Bacterial small subunit ribosomal RNA
Source: RNAcentral